Long non-coding RNA from Musa acuminata subsp. malaccensis (wild Malaysian banana), 858 nucleotides. RefSeq lists it as uncharacterized. NCBI's taxonomy places the organism in Eukaryota, Viridiplantae, Streptophyta, Magnoliopsida, Zingiberales, Musaceae. The record is from RefSeq and is a predicted model, not a curated record.
AGGCAAAGGGAGGAGAAGCGCAGGGAUAUGCACGUCGUUAGGAGGGCGACCGUCCACCGGAAUCCGGUGAACUCGAGGGAGCUGUAGCGCGAGGGAAAGAGGCCAAUGGGUUACGGGUUUUGUCACGAGGCCAGAAUUAUAACCACUAGCUGUUGAACUGGGCAGCCCGAACCGACCAACCAAGGCGACGAACCCGGUUCGAUCCGAACAGUUUAAGGAAUUCGAUAAAACCCUCGAAUCACUAAAACAAAACCUCACCGUCAGAUUCCAAGACAGCCCUCCGCAUCCACCCAAAACACCCCAUUGCCUGAGGUCCUCUUCUUCGUUCCAAUUAAGAUGCGUCUUGAGAUCUUAGCUCCACUUCAGUUGGAGCAUUUCGAUCUAAGAGCCAAAGUGCAAAAAAUCUUGAUUCUUAAGUGAAGUACAACUCAGUUGCAGAGGUUGGGGGAUUUUAAGCUGUCUCAUAUCUUCAACUAUCAACCCUACUUCACGAUCUUUAUGCCAUGAGGUGAGACAAGGUAAUCUUGCGUCUCUUGUUAAUGAAGGACCUGCAGAAUGGAUGGACAAAAGUCACAAGAAACGCUUCAUUCUUUGGCCAAGAAUUCAAGAUUGGGCUGAUCAUAACUUGAAUUUUGUGCAUAAAGUCUUGAAGGUGGACACAACUGUGCCACUCUUGUUGCUGCCUUCUCUGUAAAUAAGUGAAUAUGUUAAAACUUUGUUCGUUCGUUUACGAACUUGGAUGAUCUAAGAUUAGUGUUUGAAAGAUUUUUAUUAGCUGAACUGAAUUUGUAACCUUGGAAUGUAAGGUAGAAGGUUGACAAAUCAUUUUGUCAAGAUAUGUGAAGCCCAUUUACUUUA